Molecule: non-coding RNA, 30 nt
Filed under: Mus musculus (house mouse)
Lineage: Eukaryota; Metazoa; Chordata; Mammalia; Rodentia; Muridae
Source: RNAcentral
UCUCAGCCUGUUUAUUCUUUAUGUUGAGGA